GAUGAACGCUGGCGGCGUGCCUAAUACAUGCAAGUCGAGCGAACAGACGAGGAGCUUGCUCCUCUGACGUUAGCGGCGGACGGGUGAGUAACACGUGGAUAACCUACCUAUAAGACUGGGAUAACUUCGGGAAACCGGAGCUAAUACCGGAUAACAUGUUGAACCGCAUGGUUUAACAGUGAAAGACGGUCUUGCUGUCACUUAUAGAUGGAUCCGCGCCGCAUUAGCUAGUUGGUAAGGUAACGGCUUACCAAGGCAACGAUGCGUAGCCGACCUGAGAGGGUGAUCGGCCACACUGGAACUGAGACACGGUCCAGACUCCUACGGGAGGCAGCAGUAGGGAAUCUUCCGCAAUGGGCGAAAUCCUGACGGAGCAACGCCGCGUGAGUGAAGAAGGUCUUCGGAUCGUAAAACUCUGUUAUUAGGGAAGAACAAAUGUGUAAGUAACUAUGCACGUCUUGACGGUACCUAAUCAGAAAGCCACGGCUAACUACGUG
Molecule: ribosomal RNA, 497 nt
Filed under: uncultured bacterium
Lineage: Bacteria
Description: partial 16S ribosomal RNA
Rfam family: Bacterial small subunit ribosomal RNA
Source: RNAcentral